RNAcentral lists this ribosomal RNA (795 nucleotides) under uncultured archaeon. RNAcentral describes it as "bacterial SSU rRNA". It matches the Rfam family "Archaeal small subunit ribosomal RNA", at positions 85 to 879 of the family's 1478-position model. The record is from RNAcentral.
ACGGCUCAGUAACACGUGGACAACCUACCCUGAGGUCGGGGAUAAACCCGGGAAACUGGGUAUAAUACCCGAUAGAUCUAGAUUGCUGGAAUGCUUUUAGGUCUAAAGUUCCGGCGCCUCAGGAUGGGUCUGCGGCCUAUCAGGGUAGUAGUGGGUGUAAAGUACCUACUAGCCUACGACGGGUACGGGUUGUGAGAGCAAGAGCCCGGAGAUGGAUUCUGAGACACGAAUCCAGGCCCUACGGGGUGCAGCAGGCGCGAAACCUUUACAAUGCUGGCAACAGCGAUAAGGGGACCUCGAGUGCUACGAUACAAUCGUGGCUGUCUAGUUGCCUAAAAAGCAAUUGAUAGCAAGGGCCGGGCAAGACCGGUGCCAGCCGCCGCGGUAACACCGGCGGCUCGAGUGGUAACCGCUAUUAUUGGGUCUAAAGGGUCUGUAGCCGGCUUAGUUAGUCUCUUGAGAAAUCUGGCCGCUCAACGGUCAGGCGUUCAGGGGAUACUGCUAAAGCUCGAGACCGGGAGAGGUGAGAGGUACUUCAGGGGUAGGGGUGAAAUCUUGUAAUCCUUGAAGGACCACCAGUGGCGAAGGCGUCUCACCAGAACGGAUCUGACGGCAAGGGACGAAAGCUAGGGGCACGAACCGGAUUAGAUACCCGGGUAGUCCUAGCCGUAAACGAUACUCGCUAGGUGUCGGCCACGGUGCGACCGUGGUCGGUGCCGUAGGGAAGCCGUGAAGCGAGCCACCUGGGAAGUACGGCCGCAAGGCUGAAACUUAAAGGAAUUGGCGGGGGAGCAC